RNAcentral lists this ribosomal RNA (130 nucleotides) under Azospirillum brasilense. RNAcentral's name for it is "partial 23S ribosomal RNA". It matches the Rfam family "Bacterial large subunit ribosomal RNA", at positions 1 to 124 of the family's 2925-position model. Lineage: Bacteria; Pseudomonadati; Pseudomonadota; Alphaproteobacteria; Rhodospirillales; Azospirillaceae. The record is from RNAcentral.
UAGAGGAUCAAGCGUCUGAAGGGCAUCUGGUGGAUGCCUUGGCACUGAGAGGCGAUGAAGGACGCAGCACGUUGCGAUAAGCCAUGGGGAGCCGCGAGCAGGCUUUGAUCCGUGGAUUUCCGAAUGGGGC